This 245-nucleotide ribosomal RNA is filed under the name uncultured Pseudoalteromonas sp. Its description in RNAcentral is "partial 16S ribosomal RNA". It matches the Rfam family "Bacterial small subunit ribosomal RNA", at positions 524 to 768 of the family's 1533-position model. The record is from RNAcentral. Lineage: Bacteria; Pseudomonadati; Pseudomonadota; Gammaproteobacteria; Alteromonadales; Pseudoalteromonadaceae.
UACGGAGGGUGCGAGCGUUAAUCGGAAUUACUGGGCGUAAAGCGUACGCAGGCGGUUUGUUAAGCGAGAUGUGAAAGCCCCGGGCUCAACCUGGGAACUGCAUUUCGAACUGGCAAACUAGAGUGUGAUAGAGGGUGGUAGAAUUUCAGGUGUAGCGGUGAAAUGCGUAGAGAUCUGAAGGAAUACCGAUGGCGAAGGCAGCCACCUGGGUCAACACUGACGCUCAUGUACGAAAGCGUGGGGAG